CAGAGAAAUUGUACCAUGGAUCCCGUAAAAAAAGGUUUUUAUUACCGAAGACACUGGCAGCAAGGGACUCAGGAAUUCGAUGCUUUAAUAUAAGCCAUAUCUUUCUUCUCAAGCAGUAAUGAAGGCAUCCAUCUCCUUAAAGAAUGCAGUCUGGAGCUGAUGGUCUGCUGAGAUGAGAAGGACUCAACACUGAAGCACACAGAUAGGAGGGGGUAGCAGCAGAAAAUGUGUUCUAUUUCCAGGACGAGGAGCGAUCAACAGCUUUAAUAGACAUCCUGCAACCUCAAGAAUCCCAGUCCCAUGGCCUCCGAGCCCCAGCUGAGACAGAGCUGAAUCAGCCGACUGCCACUUGCCUCCCA
Scomber japonicus (chub mackerel) is the source of this 359-nucleotide long non-coding RNA. RefSeq lists it as uncharacterized. The transcript is spliced from 3 exons. Lineage: Eukaryota; Metazoa; Chordata; Actinopteri; Scombriformes; Scombridae. The record is from RefSeq and is a predicted model, not a curated record.